ACUUAAAUAACUUAUUUAGAGUAUAAUAUUGAAGAUAUUAGGGAGAUUGUUUUAAAUCUUUAAGUA
RNAcentral lists this transfer RNA (66 nucleotides) under Eoneureclipsis hainanensis. RNAcentral's name for it is "tRNA-Phe". Lineage: Eukaryota; Metazoa; Arthropoda; Insecta; Trichoptera; Psychomyiidae. The record is from RNAcentral.